RNAcentral lists this long non-coding RNA (7579 nucleotides) under Homo sapiens (human). Its description in RNAcentral is "long non-coding RNA NONHSAT153165.1". The record is from RNAcentral. Lineage: Eukaryota; Metazoa; Chordata; Mammalia; Primates; Hominidae.
UUAAACCAUAUUAAUAUUCUGAAAACCAAAACAAACACCCACUACACUUGACACAUUUUUUUUUUGUACCAUAAUGAAAGCCUAUGUGUUUGGGCCCACAGUUUCAGCCAGGAUUUUGACCUGGGGCCUCCUAACUGAUCCUGAGGCUUUAAGACCACACAGCAUGGGUCUGCGAAUUGCAAAUGGGAGGCUUACUUUUCCCAUUCUUAUCCAAGCCUCCAGAAGUGGCUCUGGAGCUAGAUCCAGCCUCCUUUCUUACGAAGCCUUGGAUACAUCCCACUUAGCUUGACAAACUUUUACCGGAAUUCUCUGAUCCCAUUUCACAGCUGUUGCAAAGGUAGGGUCUUGGUUGUGUCUUCCUUCAAGCUGCUUAUGAACCAGGGGUGGAGACUAGGAAGUAAGGAACCCUGGAAUCAGAGAAGUCAGGAGCAAGCAUCUUGUUGGCUUGAGGUUCUCCAGGCACCAUAAAUCAAGUAGUGCGCAUACUAAGAAAACAAGCUGGACAACAAGAGGAGAGCAGGAGGGUCCUUAGGAUUGGCUGCUUGUACCAUGGCCCCCAGUGGCUCAGUAGAGACAAGGGGAAUCCCAGUAUUUUCAUGCCUGGGACUCUGUUUUGAUCCCUGCAAGUACAGUGUUAUGAUACUCCUUUUAUGGAUGAUGAAUUGGAGACACCAAGAGGUUCAGAGCUUCUUCCAAAGUCAUAGAGCCAGUGAGUUGUGAAGACGAGGGGCUCAGUCUUCCGAUUCAUGCAAAGGGUUGAUGUGACAUUUUCAGAGCCUAGUUCUAGCUUCAUUGUGCUGGAAAGUGGUCUUGGCCUGAGGACAGCAGGGUGCUUCAGAGUCCAGUCUGAUGCCCUUUGGCAGCCACACACCCUCCUGUGAAGGCACCACAAAUUCCUUGGGAGGGAGACGCGUUCCAGAUGUGUAUGCCGCCUCUAGAGAAAACGUGGCUUCUUCUGGUGAGCCACAUGCAAGGUGUCUCGCUGGCCACUGUGAAGUGGGGAGAGACGCCUGGAGCAAGCCAUGAUCUCUGCCAGCACUGGAAUCACCAACAUCCUUGAGCUUCCUUCAGUCUGAUGCAGAACCUGAGGACGUGGCCAUCUCUUGGUGGUGUUCUGGGAAAGCAGGAAGUCUUCAGACCUGAUUGUCUUCAGAUUUCAGCCAUGGGCUCCCUGGUGAGCCAUCUCAGGGGUAUAGGAAACAUGGAUGCCGCCCCGGAGGCAGCUCUCAGGUAUGCAUCCCCUGGUGGCCCGGGCCUCUCCGGGGCUGGUGGCUCAGGCUGGAGGGACAGGCACUGAAUGAGGCUGUGUACUAGAUUUCUCCCCUUUCCACAUGCUGGUCUUACUGAGGCAGGUUCAGGGGGUGCUCUGAGGGACAGAAUGCUGUAGGGGACAAAGAAAAAAAUCCCCCUUCUUCCUCUGAAGGUUUGCUGAAAAAUCAACUCACAAAAGGAGAUUAAUUGGAAUAAAGGCAUACAGAUCAAUAUGCGCAUGGGGGAGAACCGUGGAGUGAUUACCCCACCAUCUGCAUUGAGCGCAAUCUGGGAUCUCAGGGGCUGACAGCAGAGAAGUUACCUGAAGGCGCAACAAGCAGUGGUCCCUGUAGGCAGAAGCUACCUGGUGCCCCAGUGAUGUGGGAGGCCCUCAGUUCCUGCGCUUCUUGCUGCCUGGGCACAUGUUCCCGGAGGAUGGCAGGACCUCCUGGCCUCUCCCCUGUCUACCCGCCAGAGCUCUGCUUCUUAAGAUAAGACCACCUCUUUCCUCCAGCCAAUGUGCUGCUCUUCUGACUUCAAAACACUUGCACUUCCAGGGCUCAACGUACAGUGAGUUCUCAAGGAUUCGGUGAAUAAAUGUACAAAUGUCUCCCGUUACAGCUGCCACAUUCAGUGGGGUAGGUCUUAUGAUCAUUUCUCUGAGGAAGGGUGCUGUGCUCAUGGUCUCAGUCUGCAAAUUGCAGACUGAGAAUCCAACGAAGGCACCUGCUCUCUGCCCCCGCACCCCCCCACCGGCCCCAAGGCUGACCCUCUCCUCCCCUGGUAUCAGCUCGAAGCAUUGUUGGAGUCCCCAGGGACCCGGAUGCUUCCCUGUGUGCCCUGUCUUUGAGGUGCCCGCCAUCUCAAGUCAAGACACACAGCAGGGUGUGAGAGGCCAGGGAGCCCAUGGGAAUUCCAGGGGAUGCUCUCAGCGUGUUUUGUGAGGAACGACUGGCUCACCUAGUCAGGCCUGGGACAAAAUAUCACCUGCUGAAGGAUGAUUGGCUGUGGCGCUGGCCUUGUGCUGGAAGAGGGCCUCUGAGAGCACAGGGAACUGCCCCUGGGCAUUUUCUCACAAUUGUUCCGAGGGUUAGAGGCUGGAUCCCAGGAACCGCGUGUGGCCACUCUGUCCUUCUUCAGAGAGAGAUUCAACUUCCGGAGCCAGGGUCACCCCUAAUGGCUCACUUCCCUUCCUUCCCCUGCCAGGAUUUUCCCCCAGAUUAUCUUGGGGUUGUCUCAGCCCUUACCAUACCUCAUCCUUCCCAGCAGCAGCCCGCCAGCCCCACGCGGAGUGUUCUACUCUUUCCAAAGACAGCCCACAUUUCGGGGUCUCCUGCACCCCCAAAUGUGGGAUUGGUAAGAUGCACGCUUCCUGACUUGGGUUUCUUCUUUCAUUUGCAGUUAAAAACCAUGACCACAAAAGAGACAUCCACAACUCGCUGUAAUAGGCGCUUGCAUAAUAGACGUGGGGACAGUGUUUGGGGGAACAGGAUAGGGUGGCUCUGUUUUUCCAACAGUUGUGAGAUUCAUUUUGGUGAAGUAAGAAGGUUUUACAGGGUCCUCUAAGACAGAAGGGGUUUCCUGGGAAGGAAGCUGGCUUAUCAACCUGCCUCCUCUCGCUCACCUGGUGCUAGCUGCUUACUUUCCACCCUUUGCCCUCUGCUGAAGGGAGAGUUUGAACAUCUUUAGAUUCUUUUCUUUGCUUGGCAAGAUGUGCUGUAUUUAUUCAACUUAGCCUCAAGGUUAAGCACACAGACCCUUGUCAGAAGCCAGACAGCGAGUGUUCAAAUCCCAGCUGUGUCACUUACCAGCUCUGUCACACCUUGGGGAUGUGACUUCACUUGCCUUGAUUUCCUCAUCAGUGAAAUGGGGAUAAUAAUAGUACUUGCCCCAUAAACAGGGAUAAUAGUACUUACCUUAUAUAAUAAGGAUUACAUGUAAACAUUUAAUAUACAUAAAGCUCUUGUUUGUUUGUUUUUAGAGACAGGGUCUCAGUCUGUCAUCCAGGCUGGAGUGCAGUGGCAAGAUGCUAGCUCACUGCAGCCUUGACCUCCUGGGCUCAAGGAAUCUUCCUAUUUCAGCUUCCUGAGUAGCUAGGAGUACAGGUGCAUGCCACCAUACCUGGCUAUUUUUAAAACAUGCUUUUAUAUAGAUGGGGUCUUGCUCUGUUUCCCAGGCUAGUUUUGAACUUCUGGCCUCAAGCACUCCUCCCACCUCAGCCUCCAAAGUAUGGGGAUUAUAGGCAUGAGCCACUGUGCCCAGCCAAACAGCUCUUAAAAUAUACAAAAGCUCUUAAAAUAGUGCCUAGCACAGUGUUUACUAUUGUCACUAUCUACUUGGAUUCUCUGCCUGUUGGUCUCCACUUUGCACAAUUAUUUGUGGACAUUUGAGAUCGUCGAGUUCUCGAGAACCAGUCAGGCUGAUUUACCUCCAAUGUACGUGUAAUAUGUUUUUUUCCUUUUCUGGAACUGAGCAACAUCCUCCAAGUUUGUCCACUCUCCGAGUGUCUUAACUGCCCCCGGUAGAGAGGCAUUUAGCAAACAGAAACAGAUUACAGAGACCCUCGUGGCCACAUGCAAUUUGCAGUUGCUCUCAAGAGUGGGUGUGGUCACUUGUUGUUCCCUUUAGCCAUCAUAUCAGCUGCCUGGGUGAGGGGUCAGUGUGCCAAACGUUCCUGGUGGGAAAUGACUUGGUUUCCCAUAUGAGCCCCGACCUUCACUGGCCUCUCCCUCUUAGAACUCCCAUUAACCACCAUGUGUGCUGGUCACUGCAGCUGAAUCCAUCCACAGGGGCUGCCCAGAAAAAGACAAUGACUUCUGCAGGGCUGGGGAGGCUGUCCUCGUGAAAAUAACUGAAUCUACCCGAGUGUGUGGCCUGUGCUGGGGAAACGUGGGUGACUUGAAUGAUGUCAGGCAAUCAGUGCAAUUGAAAUAUGUCAAAAAUGGCUCCAUCAACGCACCCGGCUCAUAUUUAGCUAUAAAAUGUGAGGCCAGGUUACGAACCGGAAGCAUUUCUUUCAACCAAAGUCAUUUGGAAAGGAAUAUCUUUGACACAUCCUUGCUGCCCCUUCCCCCAUUGCGGUGUCCCUGGCUGUGUGGCUGGCAGCCUGGCUCUUGGUGAGUCGCAGCUGCACCUGUGCCCACCUUCUCACCACGGGAGUAGGUGCUUCUCCUUUGGGCACCUUCUGGCUUUGCACCGUAAAAGUGAAAUACGGUGUGGUCCUGCAAGCUGCUUCUCCAGUGAUGUGAAAAGCGUAAGAGAGAGGCUCUGGGAAGGGGCAGAUGCUGCAGGUGCAAUGAUGCCAGCUGUUGAGGACGGUGCCCUGUGCCUGGGGAAGUACAUGCUGUAACUGGAGCUCCACCUUGGUACCCCACCGCUGGACCCUCCAAAGAGAGCUCUGACAUGUAUGAAGUUUCAUAUACUCAAUUCCUUUACCGCUGGACUUGUGAGAAUUGUAUGAGGAAGGCCACUUUGAGGAUCAUAUUCAUGCUGGCAAUAAUGACAUGAAAAGCAACAGUAAUAGUAGCAACUAUCGUCAAGGUCCCAUAGGUACCAGUUUUCAUGCUUAACAGCACAACCAUCUCAUCCCUGGAACCAAGCAUCCCUGGAACCAAGCAAGAUCAGUGCUGUUGAUCUUCAUUUUGCAAUUGAGGUAACGGAGGCUCAGUUAACUUAAGUAACUUGUCAGGGGUACAAAGUAAGUAUAAGUGGCUGAGCUGUGAUUCAGAUCCAGGCCCAUCUGAUGCGAUAGCUCAUUCUUUUCUCCAUGACAUCAGGAGGCCUCCUCCUCCCUUGUGUUGCUCAGAGUUCUGAUAAGAAUCAGAUUUCUAGGUGAAUCACAAGAAGGUGACUAUUCUGGUUAGAUAACGGGAGAAUGGGCCCCAUCAUGGCAACAGACUCCUAAGACUCAUACAUCACAAGAAAGGGCUCCCUACAGCUUUGACACUAGGGUGCUUCUCUGUGCACCUCCUUGCUCCCCUCCCAUGAGAAGGACUGUCUUUCAUCCUCAUAGCUAUUAUUUUUGAAACAUCAGUUUUAAUUUGGGGCACCCGCUCUCUUCGGGAGAUUGCAAAAAUUAAAUCGUUUUUAAGCAACCCAACAACACUUCUGGGGUUUGUAAUAAACUUGUGAAAUUUGCGGAACUUGGUGGUUGAGGUUCUCUCCGUCCUACUUCCCUGGGGCCCCGAGGAGCUUUCGAGUUGGUUCUUCAUGCCCUCUUGUUUGGAGCUGCUUUUGUCAACUGGGCCCAGCUACUGCGUCUUGGACCAAGGAGGCGAUGAGCCCUGAAACAGUCCAGGGUCUCUAGGAGAGCAACUCCCAAACCAUGUUUCUGGCCCUGCCUUCCCUCUGUUAUUCUGGGGAAAAAACUGACCCUACGUGGGUGGGAGGUCCCAUCUACAGAGACCAGCCUUGUUUGUUUCCAUAGGAUUUGACUACUGAGGGGCACGAAAAUACAUAGCCAACUUCCCCUUGCAGAGUUCACUGUCUCCCCUUCCAGCAGAUGACUCCAGGAUCCUUGGAAGCAUAGGAACACACCCCAGUUGAUGACACUGUUUCCUCUCCUCUGCAGAAGAAGAUCCUCUCCACUCACAGGAAACAGCAGCAAGAUGGUUUCCAGGCACCAGCUGUCACUGGGCUUGUACUGUUACAGUCCAAGCUGAGCACGCAAGGCAGGGUGUGUUUCUGGCUCCCCAUAGCUGAAAGCUCAACUUCAUGUGGUCAGGUCUUGGAUGGCGUCAAGGCCUGUAGGGUGAACAGAACUCUCUGAGUCACCUUUCCCUGCUGUUCAGGGCCUUGAUAUAACAGACAGGGCCAUUGGCUCCACAGGGGCAUGGUGGGGAAGAAGGGUCCAGGAAGGCACUUUGCCUUUGUGUCUUGUCCUUGGUAUUUGGAGGGCAACACCCCUGUAUUUUUCUAAUCCUAUUAGCUAAGAAUCUGGAACCUGGGCCAGAGGCCUGGGUUCUAACACUAUCUCCACCGUUUCCCAACCAUGGAUACACCCUAUACUUUCCCUCGUCUGUACAGUGGAGCUAAUAAUAGUACCUAACUCAUGGAACUAUCAUGAGUCUUAAAUGAGUGUUAACACGCAUGAAGUGAAGUGCUUAUAUCUGGCAGAUAGUAAAUGUGUAUUAUCAAUUUAAUUUACACUAUUAUUUGACUGUAUUUCUACUAUACAGAGCAACUAUUGCCUGGUCAUAUGUCCUAACAAAUAAACUGUGGAGACAGACAAGUAACUGUCUCAGUGCUAAGGACACCACUGACCCUCAACAGAAUAAUGCCCCCUAAAGAUGUGUAGACCCUAAUCCCCGGAAUCUGGGAAUGUGUUAGGUUACACGGCAAAGGCAAAGGAAGGUUGCAGGAGGAGCUGAGGCUGCAAAUCAGCUGACCUUACAGUGGGAAGAGAAGCCUGAGUUCUCCAGGUGAGACCAAUGUCCAGCAUCCUGGCUGAGCCUGCUCCCUUUACAAACAAGGUUAGGAUUUAUAACUGCUUUCAUGGUAACAUCUGGCUCAUUUCUCUCAAGUUCCCCCAACUCUUUUUUUUUUUUUAGUAUACAAAUCUUUAUUCUAAAGUCAUUUCAUUUCGGCUCAAUUCCUUCUCUCUCUCUUUCUACCUGUUUGUUUGGCCUUUGGAGAUUGAGAAUGAGAAGUAACAGGACUCAUUACCCACAGCUAGUCACAAGAGGAGACAGAGGGAGAGUGAAUGCAAAAGAAAGGUACCAGAGAGGCCACCUUGCUGGCUGUCAAGGUGGAGUAAAGAGGCCACAAGCCAAGGGGUGUAGGCGGCCUGGUCUCUUCUGCAGCUGCUUUUUAAAACUCUAGGACUUUCUUCCACCAACAAAUUCUUUAGGUUUUAUCAGAGUUAGGAGGCAGUUAGCAUCUGCAACAAUAGAAAGAAUAUGUAUUAUUUGGAAUGCUUGUGUGGCUUAUACAGCUCCCAACCAGUUCGGGAGUCUUAACACAUUGUGCUAAAAGAUGCUGAAGGCUGGGUUUCCACUUCCCAAACAAUUUCAUUCUCUAAGAAAACUGCCGAUAAAGAUAAAAAACAUUACAGCCAAAUGGAGUCUUGCCUGAAUCCCAGGCCCUGCCACAUCGACCGCUGGUUCUAUCAGUGGCCAGUGUUCUGGAAACGCUUCCCCGACAUCAAGGAAGCCGGAUCCUCCCCACACAGUGAUGGGUUCUAGGCCAUUUUUGCUGCCUCGGUCUGGGAGCUCACCAUCCUCAGAAGCUCCCAGCACCUGGAGAUGUCUCGCAUCCUGGCUGAGCCUGCUCCCUUUAGCAAACAAGGUCAGGAUUUGUAACUGCUUUUGUGGCAACAUCUGGCUUAUUU